This is a long non-coding RNA of Vespa velutina, 3507 nucleotides long. RefSeq lists it as uncharacterized. NCBI's taxonomy places the organism in Eukaryota, Metazoa, Arthropoda, Insecta, Hymenoptera, Vespidae. The transcript has 5 exons. The record is from RefSeq and is a predicted model, not a curated record.
GAGAGAGAGAGAGAGAGAGAGAGAGAGAGAGAUGCAGCAGCGACGAUUAUCUAUUUUCAAGUAGAUCUCGAGUCUAAAGUAUUUUUCUCGCGAAACAUUUUUUCGUCCUUUUCUUAAAUUAUUUAAAUUUCAUAUUAGGGACGCACAGAGUCUCAGAAUUUUUCUUAAGAAGAAGCAGAGAAGAGUCGUGGCGAGCUCAUUAACAUAUCCUUGUCCCAGGAGAGUUUCCUCGGGCCAAAGUCGUAAAUAACUACGCACAUGGUGGACAGAAGGAGGAUGGGAGAAGUAAGAAGGAGUAGCGCAAAAUCUUACUGGCGUAAUGUAAAAGUAAAAACUCUCGAAGGGGGAUGACAAAUCGGUACAGGAUUUCUCGUUGGCUAGAUCGCAAGCGUAGCGAGCGUUACAACGUUUCGCUAAUUAGGGACGUUUCAGUAACGUGGUCUAAUAAGUUUGGACCAGCAGGAUUGCUAGUGGUGCGUUUCCAGAACGAGCAGUAAGCAAAUGGUAAGUACGGUGCGAGUAAUCGAACCACCCGUACGCGGUCAAUAAAUUCAUGCUCUGAUUGCGCGUAAAAACGGCAAUUACCGGUAGCCAUCGUGCGUGAAGAUAUCACGCUGAAUUACACCCCGUUAUGUUCAUUUUCCCUGUGCGCGGCACUACGCCAUUUGCACGGCUACCUACCUUCUAUCCGCCUUCUUCGUCAGCUCUCCCACCAAGCGGUUGGACCGCGACCGAAAAAUCAGACCCCUCCCGUGUCUGCAAUAGUGUCGAUGAUUGCGCUCGCGUGCAUACCUGCUCGAACGUAACGCCACCCGAUGAUCUUAUCGAGGAACGAGUUUGAUCGUAAGAAGAAUCACGUGGAAGAAGGGGUCGCGGGCCAACGCGUAUCCGUUUACUGGAGCCGACGUAAUGAGACUUUGUACAUCGAACGACAGGGAGAUCAUAGUAAUUAUCUCGACGUCAAGCAGGAAAUUAAAAUCGAACGACUCUAAUAUAUAAGGAUUCAGUUUGAAUCGAAGAGCGUCGACAGGAAGGGAGUUUGAUUGGACGUGCACCGAUCGCGUAAUUAGACACGCCUCAUAUCUCGUCGAUGGCAUUGGGCGGCACCCAAUCGAUCGUCGAGGGAAGACGAGAGAGAGAGAGAGAGAGAGAGAGAGAGAGAGAGACAGACAGACGAGAGCCGAGAAGCAAAAGAAGGAGAUGCCCGCGUCGAGACGAGGAGAUUCGAAUCGCUCGCACCAGGGAUGUGUAACGAUGUAUCUAACUGUGCGAGUGUGAGAGAGAGAGAGAGAAACCAUAGGUCGACUAGAAAACGAUGCGUCCCUGGUGGUCGGUAGAAGUUAUAGGUGGCUACCGCAUGGCUGCGUUGGAAGAAACUUUAACCUCGGCGAAGAAGAACGUAGAAGACGACCGCGAACAGGCAUCGUCUCGCUACGCGCAUCCUGAGAUUCCCUAAGUGUGGUUCUAUGUACUUGCGAGACGACUCGGUCACUGCAAAUUAUAUAUGGAGCACAAAGGAGUCCGCCCCUGGAAGAAGGAAAGGCACGUUCGAAGGAGCAACCUGCGAAGAUCGUUCGUGCAGGAAGAAGAAGAAGAAGAAGAAGAAGAAGAAAGGAAAUCAACGAUCGCCUGGUAACGCGAUUAUUAGCAACGCCAAGAAAAGUCGAUUCAAAAGAGCAUACGGUUAAUCAGAGAGAAAAUAUAAAUCCACGCACGAAACUAAUUGCUCGUACCUGUUCGACAAAGGGGUAACUCGUCGAGGCCGCGCCAAUAAACACGUCCCGCUAUCUUCUCUCCUUUUUUCUUUUGCUCCUCGCUUCAUCUCCACCUUUCCUCCUCCCGCGUGUCGCGCCAAGUGGAAGGGCUGGCUACUUCAGGAGAGAGGCAGGGGGUCUUGAGUUAUUUAUCCGCGGAAGGGUCUAUUAAUUUCGAGCCAAUAAUAACUCGAACUCGUCGUACUAAUUAAUAUAUGAGCACCAUCGGCUUGGCAAGGCCCAAGCAGGUUCGUCUUCGCCGUGAGUGUAUCUUAAGGACUCGCUCGUCGUCCGUCCUUCUUUCUCUUUCUCACUCUCUUUCUCUCUCACUCACACUCAUCGCAUCGGCAAAGCGAUGAUGGAGGAUCGGUCCCGCCGACAAAGAUACCGCGACAUGAGCCAUGCGCUCUCGUUGCACGAAACUCGAUCGACUCUCUCUCUCUCUCUCUCUCUCUCUCCGUCCUCCUCUUCCUUCUCCUCCUUGUCUCUCUUCUUACCCUUAUAUCUGCUUCCUUCGAACUCCGAUGGAGAUCUUUAUAGGCGUGUCACUUCGAUAAAAACGUUAAGUAUCGACGUGCGGCCUACGGCUUCUGCCAAAAAGCGUCGAACCGACGACGAAGGAACGACGGAAAUACGAUGUCGUUCUGACAGCAUCGUAAAAAGAUUUUUUUUCAAUGGCCGAGAGCAUUAAGAGGAACUCUCUCAUUCACUAUCUCACUCUCCCUCUCUCUCUCUCUCUCUCUCUCUCUCUCGCUCGCUCGCUCGCUCGCUCGCUCGCUGUCCUUUCUCUCCUUCGUGCUUUACAUACUCGUCUUGCACGAAAUUCACUCGCGAAACGUUUCUGUUUUCCUUUUUUGCUUCACGAUGAUGUGAUACGUAAGUAUUUACCAGCCUCUUACACGGCUAAUAAAUAGUAGAUUCUUUCGUAAACAAUAAUCUCUUUCCCGUGUACCGUGUAGUAUCAUUACGUUAGAAAACAAACAAAGUUCACCGUACGAUCGUGUCGAGACACAUCGUUUAGCGUGACACCUCGAAGAAGGUCACGUACGAGUCAGUCUAGCGGUAAUGCUCGUAGAGUCAAGACGCAAGAGUUAACACUCUAUCUAAUUCUAUUCCCUCUGAAUCUUUAUACAUACUCGGUUGGGUUCUAUGUGUCUUCUAUACAUACGUCGUAGAAACGGUUAAGAGAAGUCAAGGGAAUUGGUACCGCUGAGUAAGUAAAGUUUCUUCGUGUAUACGAGGAGAGAACACGUGCAAGAACGAUUUCGCGAACGAUCGGUCGAACUCACGAGAAGUCGUCGAGCGGAUCGGCGAGGCCGAUCGGUCGGGUGCUUCGACGCGUGACCUCGCGGCCAGUUAUCGGGUUCCUUGGAAGAAGCUUGCUGAAUAUGUAAGAACCUGGUAUAGGCAAAGAAGACGAAGAAGAAGAAGAGGAGAAGGAAGAGGAGGAGGAGGACGGAUUUCCUUCGUAGGAGUGCCGAUGUCACGGGCCCGUGCCACGAGAACCACGAGAGCACGGAGGAUCGAGAAGUUAGUUAGCUCGUUUACGGUCUCCGUAGUUUUCUCCUUCUCUUCCUUACUCUAUCUAUCUUUUUCGCGGAACAGUGGUAGUACGAGGCACGUGUGUCUUCGCCCGAGUACUCGUCAGAUCGAUUUGCACCACGAAGAUUAGAAUGAAAAGGGGACAACGACUUUGAUCGUAUCGUAUGGAGAAUAAGAGCGAACGUUGGAAUAGAGAUGUCACGAAAGUAUA